ACUCCUACGGGGAGGCAGCAGUGGGGAAUAUUGCACAAUGGGGGAAACCCUGAUGCAGCCAUGCCGCGUGUGUGAAGAAGGCCUUCGGGUUGUAAAGCACUUUCAGUCGUGAGGAAGGUGGUGUUGUUGAAUAGCUGCAUUAUUUGACGUUAGCGACAGAAGAAGCACCGGCUAACUCCGUGCCAGCAGCCGCGGUAAUACGGAGGGUGCGAGCGUUAAUCGGAAUUACUGGGCGUAAAGCGCGUGUAGGUGGCUUGUUAAGCCAGAUGUGAAAGCCCCGGGCUCAACCUCGGAAUUGCAUUUGAAACUGGCAGGCUAGAGUCUUGUAGAGGGGGUAGAAUUUCAGGUGUAGCGGUGAAAGUGCGUAGAGAUCUGAAGGAAUACCAGUGGCGAAGGCGGCCCCCUGGACAAAGACUGACGCUCAGAUGCGAAAGCGCUGGGGGAGCAAACA
This 451-nucleotide ribosomal RNA is filed under the name uncultured bacterium. Its description in RNAcentral is "bacterial SSU rRNA". It matches the Rfam family "Bacterial small subunit ribosomal RNA", at positions 335 to 774 of the family's 1533-position model. The record is from RNAcentral.